This is a long non-coding RNA of Pseudoliparis swirei, 821 nucleotides long. RefSeq lists it as uncharacterized. The record is from RefSeq and is a predicted model, not a curated record. NCBI's taxonomy places the organism in Eukaryota, Metazoa, Chordata, Actinopteri, Perciformes, Liparidae. The transcript has 2 exons.
GGGGGGUAUAAAGCUCGCGGCUGCAUCGCUCCUGUCAUUCAUCCGACUCCCCGAGAGAACCAGAGCCGAGCGCAGCAGCAGCAGCAACAACGAGCCCAGACUUCGACCUCUCUCUCCCGCCAACAUGACUAGGACGUGUCUCUCUUACCUCGGAGCCCUCCUGCUGGCUCUCCAUCUUAUCUCGUCGCAGGUGGUCCAAGCCCAGAACGUGACUGCCUCUCCCACGAACACGACCACGCCCGGCGAUGUGAUGGUGACCACCACGCUCCCAGCGAAAGGCUGCGGGACGAUCGCCGCCUUCACGCUGAUGCUGCCGCUGGCGGCUGCGGCCUCUUUGCUCCACAUUUGGUCCUAAGGACCGGGCUGAUGUUUGCGCCACGCGCACGGCCAAGACUGCGGGACUGGGCAUGCGACGUUACACAAGAGCAACACACGAAUUUUUGUUUCCCCUCCUUUCUCUAACUUUUGGAAUUGGUUUCGAAGCGGCGCGCACUUCCACAGCUCUGUCUUCGUUUCACCUUUACGCACCGCGGGGACGCGCCCUGCUGCGCUUUGCUGGGACUGUGACAAUCGCCCUUGUCCGGGAAACCGCCAGCCUCUUGGUUUAGUCUGUUGUGACUGGGGGUGGGAGAUGAAGAGGAUGAUGAUGGUGGCACUGCGCUCUUUAAAUAUAAUGAAACGUGUUCUGAUGCUUGAUUCCAGGCUCUAAAGCCUAACUAUUAUUAUUAUAAGCAUGUUUAGAAAAGUUACAGUUUAGUCACUGGUGAUUUUUAGAUCUUAGCAUUUUUGUAACUCUAAUAAAAACAUUCAAUUAUAAGUGA